This 301-nucleotide ribosomal RNA is filed under the name uncultured bacterium. RNAcentral's name for it is "partial 16S ribosomal RNA". It matches the Rfam family "Bacterial small subunit ribosomal RNA", at positions 509 to 807 of the family's 1533-position model. The record is from RNAcentral.
CAGCAGCCGCGGUAAUACGAAGGGGGCUAGCGUUGUUCGGAUUUACUGGGCGUAAAGGGCGCGUAGGCGGGCGAAUAAGUCAGGGGUGAAAUCCCAAGGCUCAACCUUGGAACUGCCUUUGAUACUGUUUGUCUUGAGUUCGAGAGAGGUAAGUGGAACUGCGAGUGUAGCGGUGAAAUGCGUAGAGAUGUGGAGGAACACCAGUGGCGGAGGCGACUCUCUGGUCUGUAACUGACGCUGAGAAGCGAAAGCGUGGGGAGCGAACAGGAUUAGAUACCCGCGUAGUCCCUGUCUCUUAUAC